This 32-nucleotide ribosomal RNA is filed under the name Gnetum gnemon. RNAcentral describes it as "partial 5.8S ribosomal RNA". Lineage: Eukaryota; Viridiplantae; Streptophyta; Gnetopsida; Gnetales; Gnetaceae. The record is from RNAcentral.
ACCACGACUUCUCGACAAUGGAUAUCUCGGCU